Molecule: ribosomal RNA, 488 nt
Filed under: uncultured bacterium
Lineage: Bacteria
Description: bacterial SSU rRNA
Rfam family: Bacterial small subunit ribosomal RNA
Source: RNAcentral
AACGAACGUUGGCGGCGUGCCUAACACAUGCAAGUCGAGCGGAGGGAGCAAUCCCUUAGCGGCGGACGGGUGAGGAACACGUGAGUAACCUGCCCUUUGGCUUGGGAUAACGUUCCGAAAGGGGCGCUAAUACCGGAUAGUUCUCAUGGGGGAUGCCCUAUGAGAGGAAAGGAGAUAUCCACCAGAGGAGGGGCUCGCGGCCCAUUAGCUAGUUGGGGCGGUAAUGGCGCACCAAGGCGAAGAUGGGUAGCCGGUCUGAGAGGAUGAUCGGCCACACUGGAACUGAGACACGGUCCAGACUCCUACGGGAGGCAGCAGUGGGGAAUAUUGCGCAAUGGAGGAAACUCUGACGCAGCAACGCCGCGUGGGUGAAGAAGGUCUUCGGAUUGUAAAGCCCUGUCGGGGGGGAAGAAAAGCGCGUGGAGAACGCGUAUGACGGUACCCUCGAAGGAAGCACUGGCUAACUCCGUGCCAGCAGCCGCGGUAAU